CGUCACAACUUCCUUGUUUUCUUCACUCCGUCAACAAGACUGGUAUAUAUAUAUAUAAAGGCUCAAUUAGACAUAGCAAUCAAAGCAUCCUAAAGUACUUACGGGAAGAAAUAUCAGUAUCAGUAGUAUCUGGACAAAAAAACAAUGAAAGGAAACAUCGGCGUUGCUCUGUUCUACGUGUUAUUACUUCUACUACCGACGAACAGUAUUGGGAAGAAGCUGGAAGAAGAUGAAACGAAACUCUUCAGAAAAAAACGAAAUCCGCUUAUUCCAGCAGUUUACCUUGGAGCGACUGUUGGACCAGCCGUGUGGGCAAGUCUGGUCGCUUUAGUUGGUGCCACUGCCGUUGCUGCCGCAAAUAUACAUCGAGCGUCUUCUGAUAAUCAUUCCUGUGCUGGCACCAGAGGUUGGUGUAGAUCAAGUUGUUU
Molecule: long non-coding RNA, 428 nt
Organism: Limulus polyphemus (Atlantic horseshoe crab)
Lineage: Eukaryota; Metazoa; Arthropoda; Merostomata; Xiphosura; Limulidae
Exons: 4
Source: RefSeq, a predicted model, not a curated record